UACUGCAGCUUUUCUCACGCUCGGAGGUGCAAUGAAAACUGACCACUUCUCUAAUGACUUCCAUCUGGGCUGAGACAUGGAGAGCCAGCUGCCUCUCGGAGAUCAUCACUUGGAUAAGGAGCUUAAACUACACCCUGUCCUUCAUAAGCCUGUGUCUACCUCUCGGACUUCACAUCAAAAGAGGGCUUGCUAUUUGCCACACAAUGAAAAAAAAAAAAAAAGUUGAAAUGCACGAUCUCAUUUAACCCUCGUGAUAACCAAUCACAUGAGAUGUUUACUAUCUUUGAUGAAGAAAUUAAGUCUUAGAGCAGUUCCCUAAGCUCCAUGAGAUUAGAGACUGCCUUGUUCUGCUGGUGCUUCAACUUGAUGGGUGUGCAACACAAGCAGAUACUGAAUAAAUUCAUUCUAAACCGCUAAAACA
This 421-nucleotide long non-coding RNA is filed under the name Sus scrofa (pig). Its description in RNAcentral is "lncRNA (ENSSSCG00030007063.1)". The record is from RNAcentral. Lineage: Eukaryota; Metazoa; Chordata; Mammalia; Artiodactyla; Suidae.